This 435-nucleotide ribosomal RNA is filed under the name uncultured bacterium. Its description in RNAcentral is "partial 16S ribosomal RNA". It matches the Rfam family "Bacterial small subunit ribosomal RNA", at positions 29 to 507 of the family's 1533-position model. The record is from RNAcentral.
AGCGAACGCUGGCGGCAGGCUUAACACAUGCAAGUCGAGCGGGCACUUUCGGGUGUCAGCGGCGGACGGGUGAGUAACGCGUGGGAACGUGCCCUCUGGUUCGGAAUAACUCAGGGAAACUUGAGCUAAUACCGGAUACGCCCUUUUGGGGAAAGGCUUGCUGCCGGAGGAUCGGCCCGCGUCUGAUUAGCUAGUUGGUGAGGUAACGGCUCACCAAGGCGACGAUCAGUAGCUGGUCUGAGAGGAUGAUCAGCCACACUGGGACUGAGACACGGCCCAGACUCUUACGGGAGGCAGCAGUGGGGAAUAUUGGACAAUGGGCGCAAGCCUGAUCCAGCCAUGCCGCGUGAGUGAUGAAGGCCUUAGGGUUGUAAAGCUCUUUUAUCCGGGACGAUAAUGACGGUACCGGAGGAAUAAGCCCCGGCUAACUUCGUG